UCGACUUCGGCGGCUUCCCGGCUUUGCAGUCCUCCCUGAGGGAAGGGCAGCCAGACAGACGUUCACUUUUGUGGUUAGCAGCUCUUAGAAGAACUGACAUUUGAGAUAAAGAAUCAGUUUUGUUUUCUUACCACCAUCUCUGUGGCUUGUCAGGAAUUAGCUGUUAGAGGUGCCUGGCCGGUUGUGACUUCACCUACUUCAUGCUCCUUUGCCUGGAUCAGAUAGACACCCCAGGCACACAUCCCCUGCCCGUCACCCAGUGGAGCCCUUCACUCAGUCACAUGAGCCCUCUCCACCUCUGGAGGUGACCUAGUUGCAGGCCAAGACGACCCUGAAGGGAGGCUGUUAGGAAGGACCUGAGCUCCGGUCUUGACUCCCAUCUGCUGCCUCAUGUUGGUUCCAACACAAAGCACACCAAGCCCUCAGGGCUGAGAGGAAGUGGGACGGUGAUGCUCUAGGGUGUCAGAGCCUCAACAGGUCAAGCGUGAGCAGGGCAGGAAUUUGUUUUCCAGCCUGCUGUUCCUAAGGAUCUCAGUUAGAACAAGAUGUAAGGAACUGGCAAUAAAGACUGUCAGAUCAUG
Galeopterus variegatus (Sunda flying lemur) is the source of this 581-nucleotide long non-coding RNA. RefSeq lists it as uncharacterized. The transcript has 2 exons. NCBI's taxonomy places the organism in Eukaryota, Metazoa, Chordata, Mammalia, Dermoptera, Cynocephalidae. The record is from RefSeq and is a predicted model, not a curated record.